RNAcentral lists this small RNA (28 nucleotides) under Bombyx mori (domestic silkworm). Its description in RNAcentral is "ovarian small RNA-16138". The record is from RNAcentral. Lineage: Eukaryota; Metazoa; Arthropoda; Insecta; Lepidoptera; Bombycidae.
GAUCUUUUAAUAAGGCUGAUGGAGUAUC